Long non-coding RNA from Pan paniscus (pygmy chimpanzee), 1316 nucleotides. The record is from Ensembl. NCBI's taxonomy places the organism in Eukaryota, Metazoa, Chordata, Mammalia, Primates, Hominidae.
GAUAGCACAGCAGGCAGGCAGGCAUUUUCCUUUCUGUCUUUCAUGUAAUGACCGUGAAAUCCCUUCCAUAAGAACAUAGAGGUUUUGUUCUGUUCUGUUUCUAAUUUCAGAACAAUAAGUCUCCAAUGCACCACCACCCACCGGAAAAAGAGCACACAGUGACUGACAAGAUGGUUUUCCGGGUGUCAUGUGAGAAGCAUUGAUCUACGAUCUGUUCCCCUUCCUGCUUCCUCUUCUCCCUUUAGCCCAUGUUCUGGUGCUAUCCAGAAGGAAAAGACUUUCUGAAGGGGUUCCAGACUCUCAUAGACUUCGAUGGGAGGGCUACUCACAGGAGGGAAGCUUGGAGCUGAAGAAAUGUGGAUCAAAGCAAUCAGCUUAAAGCAUCUCAUUCUGCCUUUCAUAGGCCAGCUGUUCUGAAAGUUCUACGGCCUUCCACAGUCAUGCCUGCCUUUCCCGAAAUGGCAGUUGCAAGACAGUUAAAGGUCAAAAAAGAGAGAAAACGUCACAGUUCUCUUCAGCAGAACUUUUGUCAGUGUGAUCGAGAAGUGUCUCAAGUGACAAGUGAGCUGACCAGGGUAAGAAAUAGUUUCCUGUGUCUGUUCUUGGCCUUGUUACUUUCCGGGAAGGGACAGAUUCCAGAGGACCCCCUCAUUGUCCUUGCCCUCAGCCUCAAAAUGUGGAUUGGGAGUUAGAGUUUUUUUUCUAGGAACAGAAAACCUCAUUUCUUUUUCUUUUUCUUUUUUUUCACACGGAGUUUUGCUCUGUCACCCAGGCUGGAGUACAGUAUCACGAUCUCAGCUCACUGCAACCUCCACCUCCCAGGUUCAAGUGAUUCUCCUGCCUCAGCCUCCUGAGUCUCUGGGAUUACAGGCAACCACCACCUUGCUGGGCUGAUUUUUGUAUUUUUAGUAGAGACGGGGUUUUCCCAUGUUGGCCAGACUUGUCUCCAACUCCUGGCCCCAACCAAUCUUCUGGCCUUAGCCUCCCAAAGUGCUGGGAUUACAGGAGUGAGCCACUGCGCCUGGCCAGAAAAACUCAUUUCUUGUCCUGGCUUUGCUACUAACUCGCUUGUAACCUUUAGCUAAUCUUUUAAUUUUCUGGGCCUCGGUUUCUACGUUUUUAAAAUUGGAGAGUUGAAAUGAUUGAUCUCUAAGAUAUUUAGUACUAGUGUUAUAUAAUUUCAGCAUAGAAUUUUUCUCAAGUAUGUUCUAAUACAUGUGUCUCAGAAUUCCCUAAUUUGCACGUCACCUCACUCUACAGUUUUUCCCUUUGUCUAUGCAUUAUAUAGGCUAGACGAUCAUUUGUGGAAUAUUUUU